GCGUGCCUAAUACAUGCAAGUCGAGCGGACAGAUGGGAGCUUGCUCCCUGAUGUUAGCGGCGGACGGGUGAGUAACACGUGGGUAACCGCCUGUAAGACUGGGAUAACUCCGGGAAACCGGGGCUAAUACCGGAUGGUUGUUUGAACCGCAUGGUUCAAACAUAAAAGGUGGCUUCGGCUACCACUUACAGAUGGACCCGCGGCGCAUUAGCUAGUUGGUGAGGUAACGGCUCACCAAGGCAACGAUGCGUAGCCGACCUGAGAGGGUGAUCGGCCACACUGGGACUGAGACACGGCCCAGACUCCUACGGGAGGCAGCAGUAGGGAAUCUUCCGCAAUGGACGAAAGUCUGACGGAGCAACGCCGCGUGAGUGAUGAAGGUUUUCGGAUCGUAAAGCUCUGUUGUUAGGGAAGAACAAGUACCGUUCGAAUAGGGCGGUACCUUGACGGUACCUAACCAGAAAGCCACGGCUAACUACGUGCCAGCAGCCGCGGUAAUACGUAGGUGGCAAGCGUUGUCCGGAAUU
Molecule: ribosomal RNA, 527 nt
Filed under: Bacillus subtilis
Lineage: Bacteria; Bacillati; Bacillota; Bacilli; Caryophanales; Bacillaceae
Description: bacterial SSU rRNA
Rfam family: Bacterial small subunit ribosomal RNA
Source: RNAcentral